This 369-nucleotide ribosomal RNA is filed under the name uncultured phototrophic eukaryote. RNAcentral's name for it is "SSU rRNA". It matches the Rfam family "Bacterial small subunit ribosomal RNA", at positions 524 to 896 of the family's 1533-position model. The record is from RNAcentral.
UACAGAGGAUGCAAGCGUUAUCCGGAAUCACUGGGCAUAAAGCGUCUGUAGGUUGUUUAGUAAGUCUGCUGUUAAAGACUGGGGCUCAACCCCAGAAAAGCAGUGGAAACUGCUAGACUUGAGUGUGGUAGAGGUAGAGGGAAUUCCUAGUGUAGCGGUGAAAUGCGUAGAUAUUAGGAAGAACACCAAUGGCGAAGGCACUCUACUGGGCCAUAACUGACACUGAGAGACGACAGCUAGGGGAGCAAAUGGGAUUAGAUACCCCAGUAGUCCUAGCCGUAAACGAUGGAUACUAGAUGUUGCACGUUUACCGCAGUAUCGUAGCUAAGGCGUUAAGUAUCCCGCCUGGGAAGUACGCUCGCAAGAGUG